This 371-nucleotide unclassified non-coding RNA is filed under the name uncultured bacterium. Its description in RNAcentral is "contains 16S-23S intergenic spacer region". The record is from RNAcentral.
UCCUCUUUACAGAGGCAGUUUGUCUCGAGUUCCCGACUUGACUCGCUGGUAACAAGACAUGAGGGUUGCGCUCGUUGCGGGACUUAACCCAACAUUUCACAACACGAGCUGACGACAGCCAUGCACCACCUGUGGACCACCCUCGAAGGCGGCACCAUUUCAAGUGCUUGCAGGUCCAUGUCAAGCCCUGGUAAGGUUCUUCGCGUUGCAUCGAAUUAAGCCACAUGCUCCACCGCUUGUGCGGGCCCCCGCCAAUUCCUUUGAGUUUCAACCUUGCGGCCGUAGUCCCCAGGCGGUUCACUUAAUGCGUUAGCUGCGGCACCGAGGGGAACCCCCGACACCUAGUGAACAUCGUUUAUGGCCAAGACUAC